RNAcentral lists this ribosomal RNA (433 nucleotides) under uncultured bacterium. RNAcentral's name for it is "partial 16S ribosomal RNA". It matches the Rfam family "Bacterial small subunit ribosomal RNA", at positions 29 to 507 of the family's 1533-position model. The record is from RNAcentral.
AACGAACGCUGGCGGCAUGCCUAACACAUGCAAGUCGAACGAUGCCUUCGGGCAUAGUGGCGCACGGGUGCGUAACGCGUGGGAAUCUGCCUUUCGGUUCGGAAUAACUCAGGGAAACUUGAGCUAAUACCGGAUAACGUCGCAAGACCAAAGAUUUAUCACCGAAAGAUGAGCCCGCGUAGGAUUAGCUAGUUGGUGAGGUAAAGGCUCACCAAGGCGACGAUCCUUAGCUGGUCUGAGAGGAUGAUCAGCCACACUGGGACUGAGACACGGCCCAGACUCCUACGGGAAGCAGCAGUGGGGAAUAUUGGACAAUGGGCGAAAGCAUGAUCCAGCAAUGCCGCGUGAGUGAUGAAGGCCUUAGGGUUGUAAAGCUCUUUUACCCGGGAAGAUAAUGACGGUACCGGGAGAAUAAGCCCCGGCUAACUCCGUG